RNAcentral lists this ribosomal RNA (784 nucleotides) under Hydrogenophaga sp. 92. RNAcentral's name for it is "bacterial SSU rRNA". It matches the Rfam family "Bacterial small subunit ribosomal RNA", at positions 53 to 841 of the family's 1533-position model. Lineage: Bacteria; Pseudomonadati; Pseudomonadota; Betaproteobacteria; Burkholderiales; Comamonadaceae. The record is from RNAcentral.
ACAUGCAAUUCCAACGGUAACAGGCCUUCGGGCGCUGACGAGUGGCGAACGGGUGAGUAAUGCAUCGGAACGUGCCCAGUNNUGGGGGAUAACUACUCGAAAGAGUGGCUGAUACCGCAUACGAUCUGCGGAUGAAAGCGGGGGACCUUCGGGCCUCGCGCGAUUGGAGCGGCCGAUGUCAGAUUAGGUAGUUGGUGGGGUAAAGGCUCACCAAGCCAACGAUCUGUAGCUGGUCUGAGAGGACGACCAGCCACACUGGGACUGAGACACGGCCCAGACUCCUACGGGAGGCAGCAGUGGGGAAUUUUGGACAAUGGGCGCAAGCCUGAUCCAGCAAUGCCGCGUGCAGGAAGAAGGCCUUCGGGUUGUAAACUGCUUUUGUACGGAACGAAACGGUCCUGGCUAAUAUCCGGGGCUAAUGACGGUACCGUAAGAAUAAGCACCGGCUAACUACGUGCCAGCAGCCGCGGUAAUACGUAGGGUGCGAGCGUUAAUCGGAAUUACUGGGCGUUAAAGCGUGCGCAGGCGGUGCUGUAAAACAGGCGUGAAAUCCCCGGGCUCAACCUGGGAAUUGCGCUUGUGACUUGCAUUGCUGGAGUGCGGCANAAGGGGGAUGGAAUUCCGCGUUGUAGCAGUGAAAAUGCGUUANAUUUGCGGAGGAACACCGAUNGCGAAGGCAAUCCCUGGGNCUUGCACUGGACCCUCAUUCACNAAAGCGUNGGGAACAACAGAUUAAUACCUGGUAUCCCNCCUAACAAUUCAACUGGUUGUNGGAAUUACUUUC